Molecule: ribosomal RNA, 220 nt
Filed under: Salmonella enterica subsp. enterica serovar Anatum
Lineage: Bacteria; Pseudomonadati; Pseudomonadota; Gammaproteobacteria; Enterobacterales; Enterobacteriaceae
Description: partial 16S ribosomal RNA
Rfam family: Bacterial small subunit ribosomal RNA
Source: RNAcentral
UCGGAAUCGCUAGUAAUCGUGGAUCAGAAUGCCACGGUGAAUACGUUCCCGGGCCUUGUACACACCGCCCGUCACACCAUGGGAGUGGGUUGCAAAAGAAGUAGGUAGCUUAACCUUCGGGAGGGCGCUUACCACUUUGUGAUUCAUGACUGGGGUGAAGUCGUAACAAGGUAACCGUAGGGGAACCUGCGGUUGGAUCACCUCCUUACCUGAAAGAAGC